Long non-coding RNA from Corvus hawaiiensis (hawaiian crow), 7463 nucleotides. RefSeq lists it as uncharacterized. The record is from RefSeq and is a predicted model, not a curated record. The transcript is spliced from 2 exons. NCBI's taxonomy places the organism in Eukaryota, Metazoa, Chordata, Aves, Passeriformes, Corvidae.
CUAACAUUAUAUAAUACCUACCUUAAUACUUUGCGAGAAGCCAAUAUUAUAAUACAUUUUUAUAACAGUUCUGAAAGCAAGUACGAGUCCAGUGCAUCUUUUUUCCAGCAUUCACAAACUAAGCAGCUGAGAGCUGUGAGAGGGAAAGAGACAGAAGUUCUGAGAGGUGGGUAUGGGGAUGAAAAUGAAAGGAAAGUGAGAAGGUGGUGUGCCGCUAAAGGAUAAGCAGGAUCAGCUUGGAGAGAAAGGACAGUUGGGGUGGGAGGGAAAUUAUGUACAGCACACCAGGAAGGUGUAAUUAGGUUGAGCAGGACUGAGCAAGUGAAAGCACAUUCCUGGCUGGCUAGCAGUUGAUGGCAUAACCCCUGGAGGUGAGAGGGACCAUACUGAGCUCCCAGGUCUAGCAGCACACCCUGGCAGCUCACCAGCCACACCCCACUCCUGUCCCCCCACACCCCAAAGAAAAGCCCGAGUCCCAUAUGUAGUGGCAUUUGCAGUGCUCCCCAGCACAGCCCUUUGGGGACCAGGAGCCCAGGCCAUAUGCUACUACUCGUCCUGGACACAGCCAGCAUCCUUCAGAGAGCCUUGCUUGGGCCACCACAGACGAGAUCGGGGUCAUGGGAUAUAAAUGUCACAGGCAUCAGUGUGGGCAGUUCUGCAAAAGGAGCCUCCCUUCAGCACCCACGAGAGCUCUGCCUCUCAAGGGGGAAACAUACUUGGCCCUCCACAUGAGGAUUUGGGGCGUGACAAAAAAAAAAGGAAAAAAGAAAAAAGGCAGAGGAAUCCUUCUGUACUGGCCAGAAGGAUUAGUAGCUGGAAGAGGAAAGGGCUAUGGAUUUGAGAGGUACAUGGAACUCUGUGGACCAGAGGAUGAGGCAGGUACAGCAGGAAGAUGGUUCAGCAGUGUGGUGUAAGUAAUUGUUAGUUUGGGUCUUUGGCAGACCUGAAGAACCCAAGAAAAAUCUACAUGGGAGCUGCUUAAACAGAUCCACUGUUGCACCAGAGACAUAAAUUUCAUUUCCCUUUCAGGCUCCCAGUGCUCCCCUCAAUAUUAUUAUCAGGAAUAUUUGUAAACAAAACUACAUUUUGAGCUGUAAGAAUUAAGCCUUAAGAAGACUGCCCAGUGACAUGCUUCAAACUUCUUUAGCUGAAACUGUUCACAAGCUCUGCAAGAGCCCUAAAUAACUCCAGCUAACUUACAGCUGGAUCUCCUUCACCCAAGUCAGUUUGUUCGGCUCUAGUGCAGAAAGACAGACUGGUUUGGAGUCCCUUUUGUGAGGCUGACAGGAGGAGGUUUAGCUGAGGGAUUUGUCCAACUCUGUGAUCUUUUUCAUCUCUAAUUUGCUAUGCAGUCUAAUGACCGUGCAGUGGCACAUGCAGCUCUGUGUUACCCUGUAAUUUGUCCCUCUGACGAGCCAGCCUGCCGUGUCAAAGCCGGCAGAUGGUGCUCCCAGCUUGGCCUGUGGCUGGGCUGCGGCUCAGCACUGCUGUGGAAGAGUAUUCCUGAAUUGCAGGGGUGCAGGGAAAUACUGCUGUGUUAGACAUGGCCGUGUCCAGCACAGACAACAGGCUCUGAACAAGAUCGAAGCCUAAAAGUUCUCCUUUCCUCCUCCCUGCUUCUCCAGACCAAGUAUCUUGAGGCCUCUGAGUAGGUAAAGUCCAAAGAUGAUUCUGACUGGUUGUAUCACAGCAGUGGUGUGGAGCUGCUGGUGGCUGUGCCCACGGGCAGGGGUCAGCAGUGCCACGGUGCAGCCACCACCCAUGUGCUGCAGCACACUUCCCACAGCCAGCUACUGUGGCAGCCCACGAGACUCCUACCAACACCUGGCCUUAGCUCAGGGACAAGUAGAUGCUCACCAGCCUGGAUGUAAGGCUGACAGUGGCAUGCAUAGAUCUGUAUCCACACUUUCUCGGUGCCCCUUGACAAACCUGGGACAAACCCCAAGGUCAGGGGCCAGCAAAUCUGGCUCAGCUCUUUGCCGUACAGUAGCAAUGAAAACUGCUCUGGGGUAAGUCCAGUGAGGUCCUUCCUCUUUGCCUACAGCUGACUAUCAUGACUAACCUUCUGCAUUUAUCCAGAAUGAGUCAGACCUGUAAAAUCAUGAGACCAGCUUGAAAACAAUACACAGUGCGAGCUAUUUGUGUCCAAGUCUUUAAGAUACUCUUGGGGCUUGUUUCCUCUGGAAAUGGCAGAGCUGGGAACAUGCUGUUCUCUCUCAUGAAAGGCAAGCUGACAGUCCUAGGCUCCAGGCAAUUGGACUUUCCAGUGCACACCAAAUGUCAAAAGGCUUACCAGAAAUUAUGGGCGUAGUGAGACUGAGCAGGCAUAUAGGGCCUCACCGUGUUGACCAAAACUUCCUGAGUGUGGGUCCUGGCUGUUUGCCUGAGAGAUCUCACACAUUUAGUGUUUGUGCAUUAAAAUACUGGAUCCUUUUUGCUCUGUCCUUGGCCAAGGACUCCUCUUGGCCUUGUGUGUAAUACUUGUCGCUACUCUUCUCCUUGGGAGUGGCUGCAUUUUAGUGGUGAACAUCAGAUCAGCCCAUGGGGUGCGGUGGUUCCCAGUGAGCUGUAAGGAAAGCUGAAUCAUUUCCCCAUAAAACCCAGAGUGCAGGAUCUGGCUCCAGUUCCAGCAUUACCCAGUGUCCUCUGCAUUGACUAGGACUAUUUCUUUUGUCAGAAUUGUCAGCCAGUCCCAAUAAAUGGUGAUGAUGAUGAGCUUGGAGGCUGAAUCAGGCAGCCAAGAUGAAGAAACAGCUCCAAGAUGGUCAGGAUAAACUGGCACCACAAAAUCUAUCACCAAUCCUUUGCAAAUGCCAUUGCUGACAGAGCUACUAUCCAUCUUUCUGUCACAAUCUUAAACAUGAAGCACUUUUAUUGAUGGUUGUUGGAAAAAUGUUGCAGACAGACUGUUGUUGGACAACCCUUACCCCUUUUAUAAGUGUCCCAAGAAAGAGGUGUAAAUAAUAAAGCAUCGCGCUUUUUUGCCUGUUUGGAACAAGCCCCUUGGCUUUCAUACUGCGAGCCUGGACAAGGUUUCACCACUGAUGUGGGCCACCACAAAGAGGUGCUUUAUUGAAGCACAAUGCUCUCUGAAGGAGAUGUUUCUUUUCCCAUUUAAAUGGACCAGAUAUUUUGGUCACAAGUUAAGAGCAUGGUCUGUGUCCUAAUCAAGAUUUUCCCCGAGUCCUAAAGACCAGAGAUGCAGACAGUGAAGGAAAGACAAUUGUGGCUAAAAGUAACAAGCUUUUUUUGACUGUCACUCAAAGGAAAGAUGGCUUUGUGCUGUCAGGUGCUGCUGAGGGGAGUCAAUACAUGGUGACAAACUUUUGGCUGGUUAUGUUCAUUUGUCACAACUGACAGCAGUCAGGCUUGCUUUGUAUAAAUGUUUUACAAAGUCAUCCUUAUCUCACCUCCAUCACUGCAGCAUCCCAGGACAUGGGCCACUACAACCUCUUGGUAUACUUACAAAGUGUCAGCUGUUGACUAGAGGCUGGUAACUGAGGCAUGACACAGAUAAUGCCUUGCCCAGAUUCAGGCAGCCACAUGGUGUCUCAUAUGGUACAUCUGAGCUGAAAACAGACCAGGGUAUAGCCUGCUAAUAGGAGAAGGAGAGGGAGCUGAGGGUGCCCAUACAGCAUAUCACUGCUCAGAAGGAAGGUACCCUAUAGCAGAAGAUGCAAGAACAUCCUGGCUUCCAGACAGAGGUUGCUGUGUGCUGAGACCCCAGUACACUGGGAUGGCAGUACCUCAGGAGCACAAGAGGAUCCUGUAUAAAGUCAGCUCUUCCCAAACAUUGACAUUUAUAUGGGAACGUCUAUCUGGUGUCAGAAUGAAAAUCAACAGCAAAGUUUGCACUGGUUUCACAUUAACAUAUGCAAAGCAGGAAUGAGCCCUACUUUGCAGAGGACAAAGCAUUCAUUGCCAUGAGAGGAGGCGGCAAAAAACCCCAACCACCACAUUAAAAGAAACUUUUUAUAUAGUUUCUUUAUACAAAUGUUUAUAUUUAUCCAUCACAGGGUGGUAUUUUUCAGAAUAAUGUACUUUACUUACCUUUAUCCUUACUCAUUGCCACUGUGAAAGAUGUGCUAACUCCCAGACUUUGUGUUGUCAGAUUGCAGUACCUCCUUGGAGACAGAGUCCAACCUUUCCUUUCUUCAGUUUUCAGAAGUAUGGCAACAUAGUUCAGACCUCGUGCCAUCACGGUGACCGAAGAGGAAUCUGUAAUUCAGACACAUUGCACCUGCAGUUCCCUGUGUGACUCCAGGAUGGCAAUGCUGCCUCAGCUCUUACUCCAGCUACUUAUGCACACUGUGCACUCUGUGAAAGGAUUUUUUUAUUAGCACCACAGGGUGUGCUGAGAGAUGAUUGCAUAUGACAGGAGUCAUUCUUACAACCACGGUCCGCCUGUUUUUGCUACGUCCGAUGCCUUGCAUGCAGCUGCUGGAACAGCCCUUACAUGCCUGUGGAUUGUAACCAGAGGAAGAACAGAAUGUCCUAAGAAAUUACACGUGUCUUGUUUCUGGGAUGCCUUUUAUUAUGAGUAUUUACAGAUGGUGUCAGUCAUUGGUAGGUGGUUAUGCUAAGAGGAGAUAACAGAUCCCACCCGGGACACAGGCUCCUCUAAUUCCAGCUCAGCCUUUGAUCAUGGAUAAAUUAUUCCUCUUUUACAUGCCUUAGUCUCCCUCCCCAUUCAAAUUCUACUUAGACUGUAAGUUUUUGGAGACAGUGAGUGUCUCACAGUGUGGAGAUACAGAAUGUAGUAUAGGUACUGUCCAGAACAAUGGAGACCUUGAUCCUGAUGGCAGCCUUCACUCAUUAUCUUAAUAGAAGCAUCCAAGUCUAUAUAUGAAACAAUUUAUGUGAACAAUCUUUUGGCCAUACUGACUCCAGAUCAGACAUGAGAUAAGAAGUGACAGAGGAAAGUGUGCAUGUAUAAAACCAUUUUGUGUCUUUGCAGGGACUGAAGAUGUAACUUCUUUGUUCUGAGGGGAGGUGACUGCCCUCCAAGUGGCAGCACUGCACCUCAGACACAAUGUGUGUGCCGUUUCCAUUGCCUGCUAGAAGCUUUCUUCCGAGUAGGAACGAGAAAUUAACUCCAAGUCUUGGAUCCCAAAGGGCAAUUUUGUAGCAAUUGUGAUGGCUCUCUUCAGGGAGCAACUCCAUAGAGAGUUGAACUAAUACUACACUGGCACCAGAGAUUGAACUGGUACCUCCAUUACAAGGGGAUACUCGACCCAUCUGAAGCGGGAGCAAAAACACAGGUUUGAGGAGACUAGACCCUCCAGCCUUCCAGUCCCCUUUUCCAUUUUAAGUACAUACUAGAAACACCACGGGAGAUAGGAAGCAUCAGUUCUUAAGGAAAACUCCCUUUUGACUACAAAAAGUCUCACAACGGACAUUUUAAUGGGGAUGUUUUCAGCAUAAGUAGUGUGACGACCAUUAGUACUGUUUCACUAUCAUUAAGAGAGUGAACUUCCCAUCUUGCAUGGCAGAAGAGCAGACCCCAGUGUGUACCUCACCUCCAAAGGUACGUCUUCUAACUUUGCUGGGCUGCAAAGAGCGGGUCUGUGUGCAGCCUCUACCAGAGAGAGUUUAUUUCAUUGGUGUACUACUACCUCUCUUGACCAAGACAUCAGUCCAUCAUCCAAAAGACCUGGUAGUGCUUCCUCAGGCCAGUUUUGUGUCUUAUGUGUCUCCUCCACUCCAGCUCAACAGACCCAUAUCCAUGCUGUGCAGGAUUUCCUGGCAACACUAGGCAUCCUGAAGCAACAGUGAACCUCUGUUCCUCAUUUGCCAGCUACUUUCUAAUCCAAGCCUUGCUAUUUUUAUCCAGUUCAAAUUUCUUCACUCCUUUAAUAAAUACAUAAUGUGGCAAUCUCUCAAAUGUUUGGCCAAAGGCAUUGCAGUUUGCAAUCAUUUCUGGCCCUACUGCCAGAAAACAACUGACUAAUCAAAUGGCAUCUUGCUUGCUGAGCUGACCCCAGUAGCAAAGUUCUCCUCUCAGAGGAAGCAUCUGGAUAUCAGGACUCUGUCAGCAUUUCCACUAAACUGGGGGUUUCUUCCCCUUUCUCUCCCAAAGCAACUGCAUUAAUGAUGUAGUAGAGGAGAAUUCAGCAGCAUCCUACCAAGUCCACCAUCUUCCCCAAACACCAAAGGAGCAAGUGCCUUGUGUGCCUCAAGGGAGGUUAUAGGACCUCCAAAAAAAUCACUCAGUUCUCUGAGAUUUCUGCCCUUGAUGUCCCAACAAAUGGGAACAGUGUCCAUGUCUUCUCGUGACCUCAGACCCAGUGUGCCCUAGAUAUGAUGCCUCUCACUGAGAGCUGAGUGACUCUUCCGGCUUGGACCACCAGCGGACACAGCUGGGGCUUCAUCUGAGGAGGUGCUGUGCUGUCAUAGCUGGGAUCAAAAAUGCACCAGAUUACCAGAAGCUGCACCUCUCUGUCACUUCCAGGGACAUACUGCUGUGACCAGCUGAUGAGCAGGAGCGUUUGGUUUGCUUUUUUCUACAGCUGAAAGCAGCCACAUGUCAAAUUGGCUGGGCUGGUCACAUACCUCCAGGUGGAAGAACACAGCUGCUGGAAGAGCCUCAACCUUCUGUCUGAGUAACUCUCUUUUCAGCCCCUUGCUGCAAUUUGCAGUGCCCUAGCUCUGGCCUUCCCACCCAAAGGGCUUUCCAGCAGCAGUAGCUGCAGCUGGAAAUCAAAGCAUGGGCCUGUUUUUCCAAGAGAUUCAGCGUGCCCAGCUGCAAGGGUUUGGCAGUGCCAGCAAACAUGGGCUGGAUCAGGGGUCCCUGUGUGCUGCAGGUGGCAAAGAUGCCACAAACAAGGCCAUCCCCUCUGCCUGCUUGUGCAUGGAGCAAGCUGGUGCCAUGCAGAGAUGGCCUUACUUGCCACUGAUCAAAAGGUGCUUGGGUGGGGGUGCAGGGAAGCUACUAUCAAUUAAAGUGAUACUUGGUAUGGGGAUUUCCCCCUUUUCCUUUCACUUCCCUCCAGCUGCAAAAGGGGUGGGGAGGAGCAAGGACGCUCACUGUUGCAUGAGGAAAAUUCCCCUCGCUGAGGCUGAUGAACCCGCCUGACGGGAGGCGGCUGCCGGUAUUACGUGUUGUGCCGCAUGUGUAUCCGCCAGCCACAGGCCCUGGCAAGGGGCCCCGGCUGGAAUUAACCUGCAGUAACCCCAGGCACAAGGGCAGCCUUGGCGGGGUGUGCCUGCCUGGCCUGCGCUGGAGUAUGAAAGCCAUUAUAAUCCACUCAUUCAUGAUGCUUAAAGAGCCAGAGGCUUUUUUCCCUUGGUUCUCCUGGAAGAGAGAGGGGUUUGGAAACAGUAAGGCACAGCAUUCUGCAUCCUGAUGGAGCAUCAUGUGCUUUACCAAGCCUUGCCCACCAUGUCAUCAGUCCAACAAGUUUUAAAGUAACAUUUAUCGUUUUUAUUAUGAACAAAUAAAAUUUCAGAUCAGCACAACCAGA